This 724-nucleotide ribosomal RNA is filed under the name uncultured Bacteriovorax sp. Its description in RNAcentral is "bacterial SSU rRNA". It matches the Rfam family "Bacterial small subunit ribosomal RNA", at positions 703 to 1428 of the family's 1533-position model. The record is from RNAcentral. Lineage: Bacteria; Pseudomonadati; Bdellovibrionota; Bacteriovoracia; Bacteriovoracales; Bacteriovoracaceae.
CGAAGACCAGAGCCGAGGGGCUUCUCUGGCCAUAUACUGACGCUGAGGCGCGAAAGCGUGGGUAGCAAACAGGAUUAGAUACCCUGGUAGUCCACGCCGUAAACGAUGUGUACUAGAUAUUGGAGAUAUUGACUCUUCAGUGUCAUAGCUAACGCAAUAAGUACACCGCCUGGGAAGUACGGUCGCAAGACUAAAACUCAAAGGAAUUGACGGGGGCCCGCGCAAGCGGUGGAUUAUGUGGUUUAAUUCGAAGCAACGCGCAAACCUUACCUGGGCUUGAAAUCCCGAGAAGAUUGACCAAAAUCGAUUGUACUCUUCGGAGAACUCGGUGACAGGCGCUGCAUGGCUGUCGUCAGCUCGUGUCGUGAGAUGUUGGGUUAAGUCUCGCAACGAGCGCAACCCCUAUCCUUAGUUGCCAGCAUUAAGUUGGGCACUCUAGGGAGACUGCCUGGGUUAACCAGGAGGAAGGUGGGGAUGACGUCAAGUCCUCAUGGCCCUUAUGUCCAGGGCUACACACGUAAUACAAUGGUGCAUACAAAGGGAAGCGACCUGGUGACAGUGAGCAAAUCUCAAAAAGUGCAUCUCAGUCCGGAUUGGAGUCUGCAACUCGACUCCAUGAAGUUGGAAUCGCUAGUAAUCGGAGAUCAGCACGCUCCGGUGAAUACGUUCCCGGGCCUUGUACACACCGCCCGUCACACCAUGGGAGUUGAUCUUACCUGCCCGA